GUACUGCUGAAGAGUCCCAAACUAGGACAGAGGAAACAGCUGUCUAGUAC
This 50-nucleotide non-coding RNA is filed under the name Trichobilharzia regenti. Lineage: Eukaryota; Metazoa; Platyhelminthes; Trematoda; Strigeidida; Schistosomatidae. The record is from RNAcentral.